Molecule: ribosomal RNA, 251 nt
Filed under: uncultured bacterium
Lineage: Bacteria
Description: partial 16S ribosomal RNA
Rfam family: Bacterial small subunit ribosomal RNA
Source: RNAcentral
GGGUGAGUAAUACUUAGGUAAUCUACCUUCGAGAUGGGGACAACCUUCCGAAAGGAGGGCUAAUACCGAAUAAGACCACAGUCACUUCGGUGACAGGGGUUAAAGGUGGCCUCUACUUGUAAGCUAUCACUUGAAGAUGAGCCUACGCACCAUUAGCUAGUUGGUAGGGUAAUGGCCUACCAAGGCUAUGAUGGUUAGCUGAUCUGAGAGGUUGAUCAGCCACACUGGAACUGAGACACGGUCCAGACUCC